This 235-nucleotide ribosomal RNA is filed under the name uncultured bacterium. RNAcentral's name for it is "partial 16S ribosomal RNA". It matches the Rfam family "Bacterial small subunit ribosomal RNA", at positions 96 to 334 of the family's 1533-position model. The record is from RNAcentral.
UGGCGGACGGGUGAGUAAUGUCUGGGAAACUGCCUGAUGGAGGGGGAUAACUACUGGAAACGGUAGCUAAUACCGCAUAACGUCGCAAGACCAAAGAGGGGGACCUUCGGGCCUCUUGCCAUCGGAUGUGCCCAGAUGGGAUUAGCUAGUAGGUGGGGUAACGGCUCACCUAGGCGACGAUCCCUAGCUGGUCUGGGAGGAUGACCAGCCACACUGGAACUGAGACACGGUCCAG